CCGAACACUCCUACGGGAGGCAGCAGUGGGGAAUAUUGCACAAUGGGGGAAACCCUGAUGCAGCCAUGCCGCGUGUGUGAAGAAGGCCUUCGGGUUGUAAAGCACUUUCAGUAGGGAGGAAGGUAGUGUAGUUAACACCUGCAUUGUUUGACGUUACCUACAGAAGAAGCACCGGCUAACUCCGUGCCAGCAGCCGCGGUAAUACGGAGGGUGCGAGCGUUAAUCGGAAUUACUGGGCGUAAAGCGCAUGCAGGCGGCCUGUUAAGUCAGAUGUGAAAGCCCGGGGCUUAACCUCGGAAUUGCAUUUGAAACUGGCAGGCUAGAGUCUUGUAGAGGGGGUAGAAUUUCAGGUGUAGCGGUGAAAUGCGUAGAGAUCUGAAGGAAUACCGGUGGCGAAGGCGGCCCCCUGGACAGAUACUGACACUCAGAUGCGAAAGCGUGGGGAGCAAACAGGAUUAGAUACCCUGGUAG
RNAcentral lists this ribosomal RNA (471 nucleotides) under uncultured bacterium. Its description in RNAcentral is "bacterial SSU rRNA". It matches the Rfam family "Bacterial small subunit ribosomal RNA", at positions 329 to 793 of the family's 1533-position model. The record is from RNAcentral.